Molecule: microRNA precursor, 78 nt
Filed under: Schistosoma margrebowiei
Lineage: Eukaryota; Metazoa; Platyhelminthes; Trematoda; Strigeidida; Schistosomatidae
Description: mir-3492 microRNA precursor family
Rfam family: mir-3492 microRNA precursor family
Source: Rfam by way of RNAcentral
AGCUUUUUGCAUCCGUGUUGAGAUUUCGUUAGACACCAACUCAUUAGUGCUAAUCAAACUUCCAAGAUAAGUGGAGUU